GCCUGGGUGGUUCAGUCAGUUAAGCAUCUGACUUUGGCUCAGGUCAUGAUCUCAUGGUUCGUGAGUUCGAGUCUCAUAUCGGGUA
RNAcentral lists this transfer RNA (85 nucleotides) under Felis catus (domestic cat). It matches the Rfam family "tRNA". Rfam says of the family: Transfer RNA (tRNA) molecules are approximately 80 nucleotides in length. RNAcentral also lists the same sequence under 4 other names. The record is from Rfam by way of RNAcentral. Lineage: Eukaryota; Metazoa; Chordata; Mammalia; Carnivora; Felidae.